UUUCUCGGAUGGUCUCCAGGAGUUUCCGGGGACCCCCCGGAUCCCGUCGGGACGCCAUCACUUGAAAAAUCUGUUUCGAAAAGAGAGAAAAUGCGAAACUUCACAACACAGUCAUCUUUGAGUGACGAGAAAUGUAAACAGACAAGGCGGAUCCCGAUGUACAGAGGCCGGACCUAUAGCGACUGGCGGAUGUCCAGGGUCACGCGACCAGAUCAAAGGUCACGUCAUCGAACUUCAUAGAUAGAUAGCGCAUAAUGCAAAGGCGGGCCCAUGGAUCUGCAUACAUUAUGACCUAACGAAUGUGUACUCUCAUAACAAGGGUCUAUAUCUCUCAUAGCCCAGAGCUCCCUGCUGGGUCCGACUUUUUUUUUACAUCCAGUUUUGUUAUUGAAAUAACACAACUAAGAACCGUCACGGGGAUGACUCGGUGAUAUGCCAAUAUUUCAGGAUGAACAAACGAGAUUAUGUGUCCAUUUCAAGUGUUGUUUGUUUUCUAAACAACUGAGGACUGAUGACAAGCGCUGAUAAUUCUUAGACACGACAGGGACCAUUCAAAUGAUGACAAAAAACAACACAAAUAGGAUACCCACACCUAACAGCUCGCACAGUAGCCGUGUUAAUCCACUCUGUGACAUAUGGCCAUUUACCUCGGAGGCUGUCUCUGUUACCCAAGAAUCACUGACCAUGUAUACCUUAAUCCUGUCAGUAAAGAUUAAUUUUAUAACUCUAUAGACAAUUUCAGGGAUAAUGCAGAAAAGGGAACCGAUAUUGUUUCUUGAGUCCCUGGUAUAGCUUAUGAAUUUUUAUCGAUAUGAAAAAUGACAAAAGAGAUUAAAUCACACCAGAGUAUAAUAAAUUUCACGUAUACAUGUAACAAACAGAACCUCAUAACAUUGUGUGACGGAAUAAAGAACAACAGCGGUUUGUGCUUUACUGUCCCCCCGGCAAUUUAUGGAAAUAUAUAUCGUCCCAUUAUGUCGUCUUUUAUCAUUAUAAGAACUAGUAGGGCAGAUUGGAGGGAGAUAGACCCCUGACUGUCGUCACGUCACAUGAUACACUCCUAGCUUUAUCAGGACCCCCCGAAAAGAAAGGAAACAUUCACCUUAAAAAUCAGGUUAAAACUUUAUGACCACGAACUGUAAUUGAAACUAAAUCGCGAUAAAAUGUCACCCAGUUAUACAACUUUCGUGACAUGCAAACUAGUCAAGGGACCUUCAUCAGGAAUUGGUCAGUCAGAGUCUUAGAUGUCGCAUCUCUUUAUUCAGACCUCAUUAAAAACGGCAUCAAGCAAGCUGAGUUCCUGCGACAGUUCCUCCAAAGGUUUAUAAAGUUUCUGGUCGUUUAUGAUCCAUGGCAUGUGACGCGUGUAAACAAUGUUUGACGUGCCACAGACACCAUCAGGUGACAACAGACAACGGUGUGGUCCAGGAAUCACUGCUGCCAACCAGUUAUUUAUUGGAAGUUGUUUAUAUCGUGAUGGCUUUGUUGGGUUGUGUGUAUUCUCUUUUGAGAAGUGGACAGGCAUAGCCUACAUCCACUUCUCUUCGCAAGCCCUCAUAUUUUGAUUCUGGAAAACGUGUAAAUGUCGGAACCAAAGACGGUUUACGGAUGUAGGCUAUGCCUGUCCACUUCUCAAAAGAGAAUAGGUUGUGUGUUGGAACAUUAGACCUUCCAGAGAGAGAUGAAUAGAGCGAGGUAGAGGGAAAGAAAACAGAACUCAACGUAAAAAAGAGCUUACUAAAACAAUUUGACAUACACGUAAAUAAAAGAAAGUCAGUUGAAUUGCUAAAGAAAUGUAUAUGAUAAGGACUUAUCAUUUAUAGACCUAUGAACAUUUCUCGUAACAUAUUGCAUGUCUGUAAAAUUCUGAUGUUUUUAAAUGCAUCAUAAACUAUUGAA
Long non-coding RNA from Magallana angulata, 1899 nucleotides. RefSeq lists it as uncharacterized. NCBI's taxonomy places the organism in Eukaryota, Metazoa, Mollusca, Bivalvia, Ostreida, Ostreidae. The transcript is spliced from 2 exons. The record is from RefSeq and is a predicted model, not a curated record.